This 909-nucleotide ribosomal RNA is filed under the name uncultured bacterium. RNAcentral describes it as "bacterial SSU rRNA". It matches the Rfam family "Bacterial small subunit ribosomal RNA", at positions 33 to 924 of the family's 1533-position model. The record is from RNAcentral.
ACGCUGGCGGCGUGCCUAAUACAUGCAAGUAGAACGCUGAAGAGAGGAGCUUGCUCUUCUUGGAAGAGUUGCGAACGGGUGAGUAACGCGUAGGUAACCUGCCUUGUAGCGGGGGAUAACUAUUGGAAACGAUAGCUAAUACCGCAUAACAAUGGGUGACCCAUGUCAUUCAUUUGAAAGGGGCAACUGCUCCACUACAAGAUGGACCUGCGUUGUAUUAGCUAGUAGGUGAGGUAACGGCUCACCUAGGCGACGAUACAUAGCCGACCUGAGAGGGUGAUCGGCCACACUGGGACUGAGACACGGCCCAGACUCCUACGGGAGGCAGCAGUAGGGAAUCUUCGGCAAUGGGGGCAACCCUGACCGAGCAACGCCGCGUGAGUGAAGAAGGUUUUCGGAUCGUAAAGCUCUGUUGUAAGUCAAGAACGAGUGUGAGAGUGGAAAGUUCACACUGUGACGGUAGCUUACCAGAAAGGGACGGCUAACUACGUGCCAGCAGCCGCGGUAAUACGUAGGUCCCGAACGUUGUCCGGAUUUAUUGGGCGUAAAGCGAGCGCAGGCGGUUUGAUAAGUCUGAAGUUAAAGGCUGUGGCUCAACCAUAGUUCGCUUUGGAAACUGUCAAACUUGAGUGCAGAAGGGGAGAGUGGAAUUCCAUGUGUAGCGGUGAAAUGCGUAGAUAUAUGGAGGAACACCGGUGGCGAAAGCGGCUCUCUGGUCUGUAACUGACGCUGAGGCUCGAAAGCGUGGGGAGCGAACAGGAUUAGAUACCCUGGUAGUCCACGCCGUAAACGAUGAGUGCUAGGUGUUGGUUCCUUUCCGGGAUUCAGUGCCGCAGCUAACGCAUUAAGCACUCCGCCUGGGGAGUACGACCGCAAGGUUGAAACUCAAAGGAAUUGACGGGGGCCCGC